Molecule: long non-coding RNA, 1291 nt
Organism: Ailuropoda melanoleuca (giant panda)
Lineage: Eukaryota; Metazoa; Chordata; Mammalia; Carnivora; Ursidae
Exons: 3
Source: RefSeq, a predicted model, not a curated record
UACAAGUUGGCUGUGUCUCCUUUGCCUGUCAUGUCUCUCUGGGGCACUUUCCACAACUGGCAACUAUAGGGUUUAUUUCUUUGAUUAUUUGGGGUUUUCUGCCUCCUUGUUCUAGAACAUAAGCUCCAUGAGGAAGGAAAGCCCCAGGAGGCCCAGGGUCUGGGUUCCUGGCAACUGGAGACUGAUUUCAGUGACUGUGGGGCUGAGCCAGAAGGUGCGGGGGACCUGACGAGUGUACAGAUGCUGGCUCUCCCCUGUGUGAGCAGAGCUGGGCGUGCGGCCGGGGAGCCCUCUCUGCAGAGGCAAACUCCAUCCACUGUCCGGAAUCAUGCACUCGGGGAGGAGUGAGCUCCCCAUCCCUGGAGGUGCUGGAAGUCAAAAAUUCACCUUCAGUCAUCCUGACGGCAAGGGUGGCUGUGUGAUAAGCUCCUUGCUCAUGAAAGGCUGACCUGUGUACCCCCAAAUUCCUGUGUUGAAUCCUUGAGCCCCGGUACCUUGGAAUGGGACUGAAUUUGGAAAUGAGACCUUCAAAGAGAUGAUGAAGUUAACACAAGGCUGUUGAAAUGGCCCUCAUCCAACCGAAGUGUUGUUCCUGUAAGAAGAGGAAGAUAUACCAGGGACGCAAGCACAGAGGAAAGGCCAUCUGAGGACACAGUGAGAACACAGGCUUCUGAAAGCCAAGGAGAGAAGCCAGGAGAAUCAGGCCUUGAUCACACUGGCAGCUUGAUCUUGGACUUCCAGCCUCUAACACUGUGAAGCCAUGGAGUUCUGCUAUUUAAGCCACCCAGGCUGUGGUGGUGUGUUGCGGCAGCCCGAACCGACCGAGCCACCUGCCGACGGCCAUUGAGGGCGCCAUCUUAGAAGCAUCUUCUUCAGCCCGGGGUCAAGCCUUCAGGUGAGGCAGCCCCAGCCCUCACCCUCACUUCGAUCUCACAAGAGACCCCAAAGCAGAGCCACCCAGACGUGCUGCUCUCAAAUUCCUGACCCAUGGAAACGACAUGAGAUAAAUAUUUGUGUUGGUUUAAAUUGGUAAGUUUGGGCGUGUUUUCGCCCUGCACCAGUGGAUAGCAAAUACACCUGCCACGUAAGACGCCAUGUCUAGCUCCCAGGCCCGGCUUGACCCACAUAGCCCAAGGCCUGUAACGGGUAGAGAGACACAUCUUGCUUUUUAAUUCAACAACCGUUUUGUGCGUGGCAUAUAGUUAAUGCUCAAAAAACACUUGUUGAUGAAUGAAUAACGAACCUGAGUUUUGCAGGCACCUCCCGGGCAGACUGAUACUUAGGACUGCUU